GACGAACGCUGGCGGCGUGCUUAACACAUGCAAGUCGAGCAAACCACUUCGGUGGUGAGCGGCGAACGGGUGAGUAACACGUAGGUGAUCUGCCCAUCAGACGGGGACAACGAUUGGAAGCGAUCGCUAAUACCGGAUAGGACGAAAGUUUAAAGGUGCUUCUGGCACCGCUGAUGGAUGAGCCUGCGGCGCAUUAGCUAGUUGGUAGGGUAAAGGCCUACCAAGGCGACGAUGCGUAGCCGACCUGAGAGGGUGAACGGCCACACUGGGACUGAGACACGGCCCAGACUCCUACGGGAGGCAGCAGUAGGGAAUCUUCGGCAAUGGGCGAAAGCCUGACCGAGCAACGCCGCGUGAAUGAUGAAGGCCUUCGGGUUGUAAAAUUCUGUUAUAAGGGAAGAACGACUUUAGUAGGAAAUGGCUAGAGUGUGACGGUACCUUAUGAGAAAGCCACGGCUAACUACGUGCCAGCCGCCGCCGUAA
RNAcentral lists this ribosomal RNA (483 nucleotides) under uncultured bacterium. RNAcentral describes it as "partial 16S ribosomal RNA". It matches the Rfam family "Bacterial small subunit ribosomal RNA", at positions 28 to 523 of the family's 1533-position model. The record is from RNAcentral.